This 73-nucleotide transfer RNA is filed under the name Ameiurus melas (black bullhead). It matches the Rfam family "tRNA". From Rfam's summary of the family: Transfer RNA (tRNA) molecules are approximately 80 nucleotides in length. The record is from Rfam by way of RNAcentral. Lineage: Eukaryota; Metazoa; Chordata; Actinopteri; Siluriformes; Ictaluridae.
GUUUCUGUAGUGUAGUGUUUAUCACGUUUGCCUCACACGCAAAAGGUCCCUGGUUCGAAACCGGGCAGAAACA